This 66-nucleotide transfer RNA is filed under the name Telenomus sp. ZCS-2018. RNAcentral describes it as "tRNA-Asp". Lineage: Eukaryota; Metazoa; Arthropoda; Insecta; Hymenoptera; Scelionidae. The record is from RNAcentral.
UUAGAUUUAGUUAAUUUUAUAACAUUAAUUUGUCAAAUUAAAAUAAUUUUUUUUAAAUAUUCUCAU